CCUACGGGAGGCAGCAGUGGGGAAUAUUGCACAAUGGGCGAAAGCCUGAUGCAGCAACGCCGCGUGAAGGAAGACGGUUUUCGGAUUGUAAACUUCUGUUCUUAGUGAAGAAUAAUGACGGUAACUAAGGAGCAAGCCACGGCUAACUACGUGCCAGCAGCCGCGGUAAUACGUAGGUGGCAAGCGUUGUCCGGAAUUAUUGGGUGUAAAGGGCGUGUAGGCGGGAGCGCAAGUCAGAUGUGAAAACUCAGGGCUCAACCCUGAGCCUGCAUUUGAAACUGUGUUUCUUGAGUGCUGGAGAGGCAAUCGGAAUUCCGUGUGUAGCGGUGAAAUGCGUAGAUAUACGGAGGAACACCAGUGGCGAAGGCGGAUUGCUGGACAGUAACUGACGCUGAGGCGCGAAAGUGUGGGGAGCAAACAGGAUUAGAUACCCCAGUAGUC
RNAcentral lists this ribosomal RNA (441 nucleotides) under uncultured bacterium. RNAcentral's name for it is "partial 16S ribosomal RNA". It matches the Rfam family "Bacterial small subunit ribosomal RNA", at positions 338 to 795 of the family's 1533-position model. The record is from RNAcentral.